GACGAACGCUGGCGGCGUGCUUAACACAUGCAAGUCGAACGGUAAGGCCCUUCGGGGUACACGAGUGGCGAACGGGUGAGUAACACGUGGGUGAUCUGCCCUGCACUUCGGGAUAAGCCUGGGAAACUGGGUCUAAUACCGGAUAGGACCACUGCCUGCAUGGGUGGUGGUGGAAAGCUUUUGCGGUGUGGGAUGGGCCCGCGGCCUAUCAGCUUGUUGGUGGGGUGAUGGCCUACCGAGGCGACGACGGGUAGCCGGCCUGAGAGGGUGACCGGCCACACUGGGACUGAGAUACGGCCCAGACUCCUACGGGAGGCAGCAGUGGGGAAUAUUGCACAAUGGGCGCAAGCCUGAUGCAGCGACGCCGCGUGAGGGAUGACGGCCUUCGGGUUGUAAACCUCUUUCAGCUCCGACGAAGCGCAAGUGACGGUAGGUGCAGAAGAAGGACCGGCCAACUACGUGCCAGCCGCCGCGGUAA
Molecule: ribosomal RNA, 478 nt
Filed under: uncultured bacterium
Lineage: Bacteria
Description: partial 16S ribosomal RNA
Rfam family: Bacterial small subunit ribosomal RNA
Source: RNAcentral